This 253-nucleotide ribosomal RNA is filed under the name uncultured bacterium. Its description in RNAcentral is "partial 16S ribosomal RNA". It matches the Rfam family "Bacterial small subunit ribosomal RNA", at positions 524 to 776 of the family's 1533-position model. The record is from RNAcentral.
UACAGAGGGGGCAAGCGUUGUUCGGAAUUACUGGGCGUAAAGGGCGCGUAGGCGGCCCUGUAAGUCCGUUGUGAAAGUCAAAGGCUCAACCUUUGAAAGCCGAUGGAUACUGCAGGGCUAGAGUCCGGAAGAGGCGAGUGGAAUUCCUGGUGUAGCGGUGGAAUGCGCAGAUAUCAGGAGGAACACCAAUAGCGAAGGCAGCUCGCUGGGACGGUACUGACGCUAAGGCGCGAAAGCGUGGGGAGCGAACAGG